This 169-nucleotide small RNA is filed under the name uncultured Atopostipes sp. RNAcentral describes it as "Listeria sRNA rli28". It matches the Rfam family "Listeria sRNA rli28". The record is from RNAcentral. Lineage: Bacteria; Bacillati; Bacillota; Bacilli; Lactobacillales; Carnobacteriaceae.
UUUAUGAUAUAAUAAGAAGUAGAGAAGUUGGAAGAUGGUGGCUAAAUCUCAAUAAAAAGAGGUGAUGCCUAUGUUUGAUUUGGCUUAUCCUGAAAGGAGACAGCAUGUCAAUAUUUGAAGCGAUAACGCUUAUGAUCGCCUUUGCGACAUUAAUGCUACGCAUCAUUGA